GAUGAACGCUGGCGGCGCGCCUAAUACAUGCAAGUCGAGCGAACGGACGAGAAGCUUGCUUCUCUGAUGUUAGCGGCGGACGGGUGAGUAACACGUGGAUAACCUACCUAUAAGACUGGGAUAACUUCGGGAAACCGGAGCUAAUACCGGAUAAUAUUUUGAACCGCAUGGUUCAAAAGUGAAAGACGGUCUUGCUGUCACUUAUAGAUGGAUCCGCGCUGCAUUAGCUAGUUGGUAAGGUAACGGCUUACCAAGGCAACGAUGCAUAGCCGACCUGAGAGGGUGAUCGGCCACACUGGAACUGAGACACGGUCCAGACUCCUACGGGAGGCAGCAGUAGGGAAUCUUCCGCAAUGGGCGAAAGCCUGACGGAGCAACGCCGCGUGAGUGAUGAAGGUCUUCGGAUCGUAAAACUCUGUUAUUAGGGAAGAACAUAUGUGUAAGUAACUGUGCACAUCUUGACGAUACCUAAUCAGAAAGCCACGGCUAACUACGUG
RNAcentral lists this ribosomal RNA (497 nucleotides) under uncultured bacterium. Its description in RNAcentral is "partial 16S ribosomal RNA". It matches the Rfam family "Bacterial small subunit ribosomal RNA", at positions 28 to 507 of the family's 1533-position model. The record is from RNAcentral.